GUCCGGCCUGCUGCAAGUGAGAUAAUCAGAGUUAUGAUGCUACUUUAUGAGGAUGAAAAUAAACAUUAAAAGCAACAUAAUUCAAACAUGAUAACAGUGUGUGGAAUGAUGCAAAAGGUGUUAUGCAUGACUUCAUUAUUAUUAGAUCAUUACCAGACACAAAGAUUAUUAUGAAGGUGCAAAGGCCCAAAUAUUUGCAGUCAGUUUGAUCUUCCAGAACAGGAAGUUGAUUUUACUGACUUUAACGUCUGGAGUGUGGAUACACAUGAAAUGAAAUUCAUGUGAAUAUAUACCCAGAGGAAGGGAAAACUCCAAAUCAGA
Epinephelus fuscoguttatus (brown-marbled grouper) is the source of this 321-nucleotide long non-coding RNA. RefSeq lists it as uncharacterized. Lineage: Eukaryota; Metazoa; Chordata; Actinopteri; Perciformes; Serranidae. The transcript is spliced from 2 exons. The record is from RefSeq and is a predicted model, not a curated record.